CUGCAGUACAUUGAGCUCCAUAGAGACAGCGCCGGGCCAGGCAGAGCAGGAUGGCACUGGGUGACUCUGCGCCUUGCAGACGAAAAAUAACUAAACAAGGGCAAAGGAGAUCCUAAGAAGCCGAGAGGCAAAAUGUCAUCAUAUGCAUUUUUUGUGCAAACUUGCCAGGAGGAGCACAAGAAGAAGCACCCAGAUGCUUCAGUCAACUUCUCAGAAUUUUUUAAGAAGUGCUCAGAGAGGUGGAAGACCAUGUCUGCUAAAGAGAAAGGAAAAUUCCAAGACAUGGCAAAGGCGGACAAGGCGCGUUAUGAAAGAGAAAUGAAAACCUAUAUCCCUCCUAAACGGGAAACAAAAAAGAAGUUCAAGGAUCCCAAUGCACCCAAGAGGCCUCCUUGGGCCUUUUUCUUGUUUUGUUCUGAGUAUCGCCCCAAAAUCAAAGGCGAGCAUCCUGGCCUAUCCAUUGGUGAGGUUGUGAAGAAACUCGGAGAGAUGUGUCAUAAUACUGCUGCCGAUGACAAGCAGCCUUAUGAGAAGAAGGCCGCUAAGCUGAGGGAGAAAUACAAAAGGAUAUUGCUGCAUACCGGGCUAAAGGAAAGCCUGAUGCAGCCAAAAAGGGAGUUGUCAAGGCUGAGAAAAGCAAGAAAAAGAAGGAAGAGGAGGAAGAUGAAGAAGAUGAGGAGGACAAAGAGGAGGAGGAGGACGAAGAAGAUGAAGAUGAAGAAGAUGAUGAUGAAUAA
This is an RNA transcript of Trichechus manatus latirostris (Florida manatee), 737 nucleotides long. It is a transcript of the gene named high mobility group protein B1 pseudogene, with no coding region annotated. The record is from RefSeq and is a predicted model, not a curated record. NCBI's taxonomy places the organism in Eukaryota, Metazoa, Chordata, Mammalia, Sirenia, Trichechidae. The transcript has a single exon.